UAUCAUAUCACAGUUUCUGGCAUGACUUUUCUACCUAACUCCACCCUAUCAUGCUUAAUAGGAUUUCCAUGUGUCACACGUGCUCUGGAGUAUCGGUACGUGCGCCGAAGGAGACAAGGUUCUCUAUGAUUACUUUUCAACGUGAAGAAAAAAGUGUAUGUGCCUCACAUUUAUCUGCUCCAUUUACCAGCAGCCAGCCUCAUCCUGCCUCAGUGAACUUAAUGAGAUUAACAGAUGCUAUUUCUUUAAUCUUCAGGAGAGCACUGUCAGGUAACGGGAAGCCAAUGAUUUUGAGCAAGAAACCAGAAUGGAAGUGGACUUACCCUUGUGCCUCACCACACAAGGCAACGUCUCAAAAGUCCCAGGCGGGAACCUUUCCCUGACUCUUCACACUUACUCCUAGGGAAAACUUCCAGUCAUUCUCUUCCACUGCAGCAGAUCUCACUGAGUCGCGAAGCUCAGCAGACUAUACUGGCCAGAGCCACAGCAGCGAGCUGUAAACCACUAGUCCAUAAGCUCUUUGGUCUCAUGGGAACUAAAAUAUCUGCUCAUGAACGUGGAAGCCAGCCAUCAUUCAUAGUGAUGUCCAUGUUCUAGUGCUUCAUCCAAGUGUUUGUCGUAUCUUUGGACCCCUGUUAACUGAAGACCCAGUCAUUUAAUGGUCUAUAUUUCUGGGCAGUUUUUAGCUAAGAUAUACCACAAGAGUCGUCUUUUCAAACAUGGUUGUUUAACUACAAUUAUCUUAUUUUGGAAAUAACUUUGAAAAUUACUGCCCUAAAAGGUCAUGCUGAAUUAUUCUCUAGUUGUUGUGAGUUUUUGAAAGCAAGAAUCUUGCUAGUCUUUUUUUGAAUUCCCCCCCCCCCAGGAACCUCAGGGUUUACUGACUAACAACAAAUGGUGGGAAAGCAUAGAUUUUCUGGAGCCAUAUGAUGUCAAGAUUUGGUGGGGAGCCUCAAAAGAAGCCCAGUUGUUUAAAUCAUUACAUCCCAAAGGAGGCAGUGUAACAUUCAAGGGGGUUAACUGGGAUGGUGAUGGUUGAAAUGUCAAAAGAUUCUGUGGGGACAGACAUUGUGGCCCACAGGAGAAUCUCUGGAAGAUGACUGGGAAGGAGGCAUGACCAGGACUGGGGACACUGCAGUAGGGGAGACAAGAGCAAGAGAAAGCAUCGGGUCAAAAAAUGAGUACAGGAGGUCGUUGGACAAAUCCUGAUCAAGGCUCCAUGGAGUUCCACCUGGAACCAGGAAGUGGAAGACCUCAGUAUGUCCCCUCCACCGUCAGCACCGCUUGCCUUUGUGUUAAAAAGAGGCGGGAAUGGGGAGUCAGCUGAAGAAUGGGGACCGGUUUCCUUUCUUUGUGCCCCAGUCACCCUCCUUUGUGUACACCCUCCAUUCUGAAUAAACUCUGGUUCUCAGAGCUGAAAUGGAGAGCA
RNAcentral lists this long non-coding RNA (1429 nucleotides) under Vulpes vulpes (red fox). RNAcentral describes it as "lncRNA (ENSVVUG00000007092.1)". The record is from RNAcentral. Lineage: Eukaryota; Metazoa; Chordata; Mammalia; Carnivora; Canidae.